AUUGCUUCUUGGCCUUUUGGCUAAGAUCAAGUGUAGUAUCUGUUCUUAUCAGUAUAUUAAAUCAAAUACUGGUGUUCUAAAUUUAUAGUGAAAACCUUUAAUAGAGUCAGACCUAUU
RNAcentral lists this small nuclear RNA (117 nucleotides) under Fukomys damarensis (Damara mole-rat). Its description in RNAcentral is "U2 spliceosomal RNA". It matches the Rfam family "U2 spliceosomal RNA". Rfam says of the family: U2 is a small nuclear RNA (snRNA) component of the spliceosome (involved in pre-mRNA splicing). Complementary binding between U2 snRNA (in an area lying towards the 5' end but 3' to hairpin I) and the branchpoint sequence (BPS) of the intron results the bulging out of an unpaired adenosine, on the BPS, which initiates a nucleophilic attack at the intronic 5' splice site, thus starting the first of two transesterification reactions that mediate splicing. Lineage: Eukaryota; Metazoa; Chordata; Mammalia; Rodentia; Bathyergidae. The record is from Rfam by way of RNAcentral.